This is a long non-coding RNA of Solanum lycopersicum (tomato), 885 nucleotides long. RefSeq lists it as uncharacterized. Lineage: Eukaryota; Viridiplantae; Streptophyta; Magnoliopsida; Solanales; Solanaceae. The record is from RefSeq and is a predicted model, not a curated record.
UCAAACAUUUAACCAAAUUCUAAACCACUAACCAAUAAAAGAUAAAACAAACACUUGACUGACUACCCAUUAAUCUUCUUUCCCCAUCUUUCACGUUAUCUUUCCCCACCAUUCACGUUUUCAAUUUUCUCUUUCUUUAAAUUUCUUUGCAGAUCAAGAAAAACAAAUUAUUCAAGGUUCUCAUAAUUUGCUCAGCAAUUCUCUGAAUGAAUUCAAGAAAUCUCUCAAUUGAUAAAGACACAUAAAUUGUAUUGGAUCAAAUUCAUACAAAAUUUGAAUUAAAUCCAUGUGUUGUGCGCUGAAUAAUUAAUUUGGGUUUUACAAAUAAAUAAGUCCAUCUUAUUAAAUGCAAAUCCAAGGUUCAUUUCACCUUGAAGCCCGAACCCAUGCCACAUAUCAUAGUGACUAGGCAUCCAAGACCAACAAGGUGACGCCACGUGUUCAAAUGAGGUGGUAGUCCCAGUCAAAUGCAAGAACGAAUCAAAAUGCACCAAGUGUCAAAAUGAUAUCCUUUGGCCAAUCACAAGCAACCUUGUCCACUCCCUACAACUAUAAAUAAGGGAUGUACAUGACAUUCAAGGGGAUCAAGAAAACUCUUCAACAAGCACUAAGAAAAUUGGAGAAAGCUACAACAUCAACAUGAAUAGUUCUUCGAAGGAGUGAACAACGGAGUUCUUCCCGGAGAGUGACUUACAACGACGAAGCACUUUUUGACGUCCCGAAAAUCGACAACAUCUCAAAAAGGUUUACAUCAUCCAAAAAUUUGGGAAAUACGCUACUGAAGGUCCUCGAUUAACGGAGAAACUUAGGAGAGAGAAUCAAGAAAACAAUGAAAUUGUACUCACAACGAUUCAUUAAUAAAAAUCACAUUUUUUCUUUUAUUUA